This 265-nucleotide ribosomal RNA is filed under the name uncultured archaeon. Its description in RNAcentral is "partial 16S ribosomal RNA". It matches the Rfam family "Archaeal small subunit ribosomal RNA", at positions 717 to 982 of the family's 1478-position model. The record is from RNAcentral.
AGACGUCUACAUUAGAUACCCGCGUAGUCCCAGCCGUAAACUAUGCGCGUUAGGUGUAUCGGUGACCACGAGUCACCGAGGUGCCGAAGGGAAACCGUGAAACGUGCCGCCUGGGAAGUACGGUCGCAAGGCUGAAACUUAAAGGAAUUGGCGGGGGAGCACCACAACGGGUGGAGCCCGCGGUUUAAUUGGACUCAACGCCGGGAAGCUCACCGGAUAAGACAGCGGAAUGAUUGCCGGGCUGAAGACUCUGCAUGACUAGCUG